Molecule: ribosomal RNA, 386 nt
Filed under: uncultured bacterium
Lineage: Bacteria
Description: bacterial SSU rRNA
Rfam family: Bacterial small subunit ribosomal RNA
Source: RNAcentral
AUUGAACGCUGGCGGCAUGCUUUACACAUGCAAGUCGAACGGUAACAGGUCUUCGGAUGCUGACGAGUGGCGAACGGGUGAGUAAUGCAUCGGAACGUGCCCAGUCGUGGGGGAUAACGCAGCGAAAGCUGUGCUAAUACCGCAUACGAUCUAUGGAUGAAAGCGGGGGAUCGCAAGACCUCGCGCGAUUGGAGCGGCCGAUGUCAGAUUAGCUAGUUGGUGGGGUAAAGGCCCACCAAGGCGACGAUCUGUAGCUGGUCUGAGAGGACGACCAGCCACACUGGGACUGAGACACGGCCCAGACUCCUACGGGAGGCAGCAGUGGGGAAUUUUGGACAAUGGGCGCAAGCCUGAUCCAGCAAUGCCGCGUGCAGGAAGAAGGCCUU